CCGUAUUCACGGGAUGCGCGCGGCGGCACUCUGGCUGGCGGGACAACGCGAGGAAGCCCGUGCCGCCGCGUUACAAUCGCAAAAGCUGGCGCCGCCCUAUACACCAGAGCUGAUGGCGCAACGCGGCCGGACAACGGCCACGCCGCGCUUCAAGGAGGGAGGCGCGCGACCGCUAUGUUGCAGCUUAUCGUGCCGCCCUCGCGCCCGUUCCAGCGUCAACCAACUGAAGAAAACCGUCUUUCUUCGAUCUUCCUGCACAGAU
Molecule: unclassified non-coding RNA, 262 nt
Filed under: Hevea brasiliensis (rubber tree)
Lineage: Eukaryota; Viridiplantae; Streptophyta; Magnoliopsida; Malpighiales; Euphorbiaceae
Source: RNAcentral